UUUACUAUUAUGCUUAUAAUUAUAAUUAAGAGAACAAAAGAAACCAUAGCUACUUUUAUGGGGAAGGAAUAAUUAUAAGCUAAAAUCAGGGACAAUCAGGUAUGUAAGUAGUACAGCUAUACCAGUUUUUAUGAUAGGUUUCUAUCUGUACCUGUUAAAAAUUUUUAACACCCAUCUCUGAGAACACCUUAUGUCAUGCAUACUAUAAUUAUGAAUGCAAGUUUCUCUGAGACCCAAAUAAAAACAAGAAGUCUUAACAGGAGGAAAAAAAGAAAAAGAUGAAGGGCAGGAAGGAAAUGGGACAGAAUCUGGUUAUUCUGGUGGAGGUAGAUUCUCCAUUGAGGUAGGUCUUUCUUUUCCCUUCUAUGUGUGUGUUUAUGUCUGUCUGUCUGUCUACACACACACUUCAUUCUGAAGUAACAGGUGUGAUUUCAACUGUUUUGAAAUCUUUACAUUUUUAAGGUAUUCAGUUAGCCUUUCAAAACAUUAAACUCGUAGAUGCCCUAUAAAAAAAAACAGAGCUUGGGCUGGGGUUAUGGCUUAGCAAUAGAGCACUCUCCUCGGAUGUGCGAGGUCCUGGGUUUGAUCCUCAGCACCACAUAAAAAUAAAUAGAAAAAAUAAAGAUUAUGUUCAACUUCCACUAAAAAAUAAAUAUUAAAAACAAAACAGAGCUCACUAGACUAACCUGUAUGUAUAUGUCCAUUUAUCUAGAGAGAACUGUCCAUACCAAAUUAUUUUUAAAGAAUGUUGAGGGGUUUUGUUUGUUUGUUUGUUUGUUUUUUGAGGGUGGGAAUACCAGAGAUUGAAAGCAGAGGCACUUAACUACUGAGCCACAUUCCCAGCCCUUUUUUAUUUUUAUUUUGAGAUAGGAUCUUACUAAGUUGUUUUGGUCCAUGCUAAAUUGCUGAGGCUGGCUCUGAACUUGAUCCUCCUGCCUUAGCCUCCAUCCCAAGCCUCUGGGAAUACAGGUGUGCACACCACAUCCAGCAAGAAUGCUAAUUUUAUAUUUAUUUAGUAGAGAUAAAUUCCAAUGAUAAAAUUCAGGAGCUUGUGGUUUCUGUUUAUUUUCAUGAUUAUAUUAUGCCUAGAGCAACAUCAGUUUGCCAUAAAAGAUCUGUUUCACCUUGUCUUAGAAUGAUGUAAAAAGUCUUCAGUAUGAACUGUUUACAUUGUUUAUUCAGAAAAAUCUUUAAAAUUUUGGAAUUGAAGAUAUUGUAAGGCACCAAAUCUAGAAAUCCUUUUGAUUAGCAGUGUAAAUCAAUUUUCCCACUUGUUAGAUUUAUUGUAAGAGCAGAUAUUUGUCUGAAAUUCAGUCAAAAAAAUGGAAGUAUAAUAAUUUACUAAAAGAAGGAUCCUUGCUGGAUUGUGGGUCAGCGGUAGAGCACUCGCCUAGCAUGUACAAGAUGCCGAGUUCGAUCCUCAGUAACACAUAAAAAUAAAAUAGGGGUAUUGUGUUCAACUAAAACUAAAAAAAAAAAAAAAUGUGUAUGUAUGUGUGUGUGAUUAUAUAAAUUAAUCCAUUCUACCAAAGAUUGUGACUUACCCAUUUUAUUCAUAAUCAUCUUGAUAGUUUAAAAUGAGAAGGGAUUCAUAUCAUCCUAAGCAGGGAUACCUAAGUGGAAAGGGAAGAAAGAAUUUGUGUUUAAAGGAUGCUUUUAAAAGUGUUCCCUUAUGAUUAAAAAAAACUCCAGGAUCCAGGAUCUCAAAUUGGAAUGGGAGAGGGGAGCUAAGUCCUAUAUUCUGACUAUGAACACUUCCUACUACUUGGUUCUGUGGCCAAGCCCUUUCUUUAAGUGAUAGCCCCUAAAUCAUACAAAGAUAAAUAAAAAAUCAAAUUUUGCAUAUUUAAUAAAGCAUUUAGGAAUUUAACUGUAUGAAAUUUGACAUAUAGUGUGUGAGAACUGAGGCACUCUUGCACAUGUUAAAUACUUGUCUCAGACUCCUUUCUUCUUCUGUUCCCAUUUAGUAAAUUCAGGAUGUGCCCAGACAUGUGAUAAGCUCCCUCAGUCAAUAUUAUACAAACCAGCACUAGUGUAUUUAUCAGACUACACAAUUAGAUUCCUGGCUUUGCUAUUCCUUAGCUGAGUAUAUGAAUUUGGAGAAGUUAUUUAAUCUCAUUGGAUAGUUGUGCAGAUUAAGUGAAAUAAUCCAGUAAAGCUCUAGCCAAGUAACUGGCUUAGAAGUGUUCAUUAAAUGGUUGUGAUAAUGACAGAAAUUUUGAGACAGACCCUUACCAUGUUGCUCAGGCUGAUUUCAAACUUGUGUGCAGAGGUGAUCCUCCCAUUUCAGCACCCCAGGUAACUGGGGCUACAGGGUGUCUUUUCCUAAUAUCUCUUUAAGAUAGUGAAAUGAGACAUAAAGUUCAUUUAUUGUCUGUCUUCAAACAACUAAUACAUACUUCAAACAACUAAUUACAUCUUUUUAGAAUGCAUGGAGGGCUAACUAUAAUAACACUUUAGAGUAAAUGGGAAAAACCUCUUUUUGAUAGAUUAUGGUUUCUUUCUUCAACAUAUUUAAAUAUAGUUUUUCCAGGUCAAUUCUGAAAAACCACAUACCGAAAGAAGGGUCAGGGACAAAAACUGUUGAGCUUAUGAAUAGCAUUCCUUUAAAAACCUUUGAAGAUCAUCUUGGAACCUUUGUUUAAAUAUCAUUAUAUAGAUUCUCACAUGCUGUCCACAUUCAGUCUAGCUUUAUAAUUGUAUAAAGGCAAACUUUUGUUCACACGGGGGACUCUUUUGAUUAAUCAAAGCCCAACAAAAAUGUGUUUAAGAUCCAAAAACAAUAAAAACAUGACUUUUCUAAAAAGAAGAUCUACUAUAAAGUGGUUUUAACAAAAAAAUGAUUUUGCAUGUCAGCAAAUCAACUACAGCUUAGUAUGAUGAAGCAUCAAAAUGUCAGAAGCUUGAGUGCUUUCUCUUCUGAAUGUAAGUCAGAGGGUAACAGGUAAGCACCUGAAGGUUUGGGGAUGUUACGAAGUAAAUAAAAGGGACUGAUGGAAUUGGAUAUUUGAAUAUUGUCACUUAAAGCACUGAUCUAAGAAAAACUGUUAAGAAUGUACAUAUUAUAUCUGUAUCUGUUCUAAAGAGAAGUGAUGUGGAUGUUCAUAAGGCAGCUGUGGAUCAUUCAUAAAAAGAACAACUGAGCCAGGUGCAGUGGCACACACCUGUAAUCCCAUCGGUUAGGGAGGCUGAGACAGGAGGAUUGGGAGUUCAAGCCAGCCUUAGCAAAAAGUAAGGUGCUAAGAAACUCAGUGAGACCCUGUCUCUAAAUAAAAUACAACAUAGGGCUGGGGAUGUGGCUCAGUGGUCGAGUGCCCCUGGUUCAAUCCAUGGUACACCCCCCGCCAAAAAAAAAAAAAAACCCACAGCCAAAAGGGAAAAUUUAUUUGAAAGUAUUCUUUGGCUGCAAGAGGAUCCUGAGUAAACAGUGUAUUUGUACACACCAUCCAUGAACUAUAUGAGGAGAAAAAUCAUUUUAAUUUUCAGGAUGCAGUUGAAGUACAAAUACUAAUACCCUUUUACCUCUUCCACUUCAGAGAGAAAAAAAAAAUUAGCAAAAACCCAUACUUUCGUGUUUAUAAUUUUGAUAUGAAAAAAGCUUAAAGUGGCUAUGACACAAAUCAUCACUCCAAAUUAACACUUUCCUAAGCCAGGUGUGGUGGCACAUCCCUGCAGUCUCAGCAUUGUGUUGGCUGAGGCCUGAGAAUCACAAG
RNAcentral lists this long non-coding RNA (3713 nucleotides) under Marmota monax (woodchuck). Lineage: Eukaryota; Metazoa; Chordata; Mammalia; Rodentia; Sciuridae. The record is from RNAcentral.